RNAcentral lists this ribosomal RNA (1635 nucleotides) under Listeria monocytogenes. RNAcentral's name for it is "partial 23S ribosomal RNA". It matches the Rfam family "Bacterial large subunit ribosomal RNA", at positions 1 to 1625 of the family's 2925-position model. The record is from RNAcentral. Lineage: Bacteria; Bacillati; Bacillota; Bacilli; Caryophanales; Listeriaceae.
UUGGUUAAGUUAGAAAGGGCGCACGGUGGAUGCCUUGGCACUAGGAGCCGAAGAAGGACGGGACUAACACCGAUAUGCUUUGGGGAGCUGUACGUAAGCGUUGAUCCAGAGAUUUCCGAAUGGGGGAACCCACUAUCUUUAGUCGGAUAGUAUCCUUACGUGAAUACAUAGCGUGAGGAAGGCAGACCCAGGGAACUGAAACAUCUAAGUACCUGGAGGAAGAGAAAGAAAAAUCGAUUUCCUGAGUAGCGGCGAGCGAAACGGAAAGAGCCCAAACCAAGAAGCUUGCUUCUUGGGGUUGUAGGACACUCUAUACGGAGUUACAAAAGAAAGUUAUAAAUGAAGCGGUCUGGAAAGGCCCGCCAAAGACGGUAACAGCCCGGUAGUUGAAAUGGCUUUCCCUCCAGAGUGGAUCCUGAGUACGGCGGAACACGUGAAAUUCCGUCGGAAUCCGGGAGGACCAUCUCCCAAGGCUAAAUACUCCCUAGUGACCGAUAGUGAACCAGUACCGUGAGGGAAAGGUGAAAAGCACCCCGGAAGGGGAGUGAAACAGUUCCUGAAACCGUGUGCCUACAAGUAGUUAGAGCCCGUUAAUGGGUGAUAGCGUGCCUUUUGUAGAAUGAACCGGCGAGUUACGAUUUGUUGCAAGGUUAAGCGGAAAAAGCGGAGCCGUAGCGAAAGCGAGUCUGAAUAGGGCGCAUAAGUAACAGGUCGUAGACCCGAAACCAGGUGAUCUACCCAUGUCCAGGAUGAAGGUAAGGUAAUACUUACUGGAGGUCCGAACCCACGCACGUUGAAAAGUGCGGGGAUGAGGUGUGGGUAGCGGAGAAAUUCCAAUCGAACUUGGAGAUAGCUGGUUCUCUCCGAAAUAGCUUUAGGGCUAGCCUCGAGGUAAAGAGUCAUGGAGGUAGAGCACUGUUUGGACUAGGGGCCCUUCUCGGGUUACCGAAUUCAGAUAAACUCCGAAUGCCAUGUACUUAUACUCGGGAGUCAGACUGCGAGUGAUAAGAUCCGUAGUCGAAAGGGAAACAGCCCAGACCACCAGUUAAGGUCCCCAAAUAUAUGUUAAGUGGAAAAGGAUGUGGGGUUGCUUAGACAACCAGGAUGUUGGCUUAGAAGCAGCCACCAUUGAAAGAGUGCGUAAUAGCUCACUGGUCGAGUGACCCCGCGCCGAAAAUGUACCGGGGCUAAACAUAUUACCGAAACUGUGGAUGAACCUCUUUAGAGGUUCGUGGUAGGAGAGCGUUCUAAGGGCGGUGAAGUCAGACCGGAAGGACUGGUGGAGCGCUUAGAAGUGAGAAUGCCGGUAUGAGUAGCGAAAGAAGGGUGAGAAUCCCUUCCACCGAAUAUCUAAGGUUUCCUGAGGAAGGCUCGUCCGCUCAGGGUUAGUCGGGACCUAAGCCGAGGCCGAUAGGCGUAGGCGAUGGACAACAGGUAGAGAUUCCUGUACCAGUGCUAAUUGUUUAACCGAUGGGGUGACACAGAAGGAUAGGGAAUCGCACGAAUGGAAAUGUGCGUCCAAGCAGUGAGUGUGAGAAGUAGGCAAAUCCGCUUCUCGCGAAGCAUGAGCUGUGAUGGGGAAGGAAAUUAAGUACGGAAGUUCCUGAUUUCACGCUGUCAAGAAAAGCCUCUAGG